This is a long non-coding RNA of Neogale vison (American mink), 458 nucleotides long. RefSeq lists it as uncharacterized. The transcript is spliced from 3 exons. The record is from RefSeq and is a predicted model, not a curated record. NCBI's taxonomy places the organism in Eukaryota, Metazoa, Chordata, Mammalia, Carnivora, Mustelidae.
GACAUGUGUGUCCACCCCCACCUGUCAGGGGAACCAGCCCUCCUUUCUCCCUCCAAACCCAGGCCCUGGGGAAGGAGCACGCUGGCUUUUCACGCAGCUCAUGAUGAAGGUGUUAAGGCCCAGGCCUCUUUCCCUCCUUGAGGAGAGUAAGGCUCAGGCCUCUGCUCCCCUUGGGAUGGGGACUCAGGAGAUUCAGGGUCCUGCUGGGGUGGGGGUGGGCAUCUAGGUCUGGCCAAGUCUCCUUCACCUCGGGCCCAGGAAGUGGCUUUCCAGCUGGCUCAGAAUUGGAUCCGAACCAACUUUGAGGUCUACUCCCAAAAGUCAGCCAUGUUUGAGAAGUAUGACAUCAGCAACAGUGGGCAGCCAGGUGGAGGAGGGGAGUAUGAAGUUCAGGAGGGCUUUGGCUGGACCAAUGGAGUGGUCCUGAUGCUCCUGGACCGCUAUGGCGACCGGCUGAC